Molecule: unclassified non-coding RNA, 246 nt
Filed under: Glomus sp.
Lineage: Eukaryota; Fungi; Glomeromycota; Glomeromycetes; Glomerales; Glomeraceae
Description: partial contains 5.8S ribosomal RNA and internal transcribed spacer 2
Rfam family: 5.8S ribosomal RNA (bases 1-65)
Source: RNAcentral
GUGAAUCAUCAAAUUUUUGAACGCAAAUUGCACUCUCUUCGGAGAGUAUGCCUGUUUGAGGGUCAGCCUAAAAAAAAUCAACAUAGUCGCUGUUUCGCGUUGACAUUCGUCGGAAAUUGGGUCAUCUUAAACCUUUUGAUUUUAGGCAUCUUAAAAUUUUCUUUACUAUUCCACAAGCGUUCCUAAGAUUUACUUCUUCCACGUUUAGGUUUAGCUAUCUUUAUUAGACGUGGCCAUUACAUCUUA